UACCAAUGAGGAAAGCAAACAUCCUGUCUUACUCCUUGUUCUAACCUCAGAGCCAGUAAUGGUGAACCCACUGGGGCUAACCCGGAGAGAGGAUGAAAACUUGUUCCAUAAGGAACUGUCUGAGAUAC
Trichechus manatus latirostris (Florida manatee) is the source of this 128-nucleotide small nucleolar RNA. RefSeq annotates it as small nucleolar RNA SNORD22. The record is from RefSeq and is a predicted model, not a curated record. Lineage: Eukaryota; Metazoa; Chordata; Mammalia; Sirenia; Trichechidae. The transcript has a single exon.